AUGGACACAUCGGGAAAAGUGGUGAUUGCUACUCUGUGGGGGGAAGAUGCUGAUAGGUUUGAUAGUUCUAGACAACCCGUGAUGGCUACCAAAGGAGACAGAGUUUCUGAUUUUGGUGGACGGAGCCUCUCUGUACUGUCUUCAAGCACUGUCAUUGUGAAUCCUGACAUCCCAGAGGCCUAUAAGCUUCGUGGACGGUUUCACUCAGAAGGACAAGCCUUGGAUGGUGUUUCCAUCUCUGAUCUAAAGAGUGGAGGAGUAACAGGUAGCAACACCAACUGGAAAACUUUAUAUGAGGUUAAAUCAGAGAAUCUGGGCCAAGAGGACAAGCCGGACUAUUUUAACGCUGUGGCAACAGUGGUGUAUCUUCGCAAAGAGAACUCUAUGUACAGGCCUGCCCGACUCAGGACUGCAAUAAGAAAGUAAUUGAUCAGCAGAAUGGAUUAUACCGCUGUGAGAAGCGCCGUGAAUUUCCCGAUUUCAAGUACCGCAUGAUCCUGUCAGUAAAUAUUGCAGAUUUUCAAGAGAAUCAGUGGGUGACUUGUUUCCAGGAGUCUGCCGAAGCUAUCCUCAGACAAAACACUGCUUAUCUUGGGGAACUAAAAGAGAAGAAUGAACAAGCAUUUGAGGAAGUUUUCCAGAAUGCCAACUUUCGAUCCUCUGUAUUCAGAGUCAGAGUCAAGCUAGAGACCCACAACGACGAGUCUCGAAUUAAGGCCACUGUGAUGGACGCGAAGCCCAUGGACUACAGAGAAUAUGGCAGAAGGCUGAUCAUGAACAUCAGGAGAAACGCACUAAUGUGAGGAGAGCAGCACUAAUUGGAUAGAAGUUUGCAGAUAAAGAAUCACAAAAUGGAAUCGAUUUCUCCUCACCCCUGUGUGACAAUCCCACAUUAGCUACACAGUGCAGAGAGCCUCUUUAGGGUGGACUAAGCAAUUUCCUGUCUUAUAUGCAUCUUGGAAC
Molecule: RNA transcript, 963 nt
Organism: Carlito syrichta (Philippine tarsier)
Lineage: Eukaryota; Metazoa; Chordata; Mammalia; Primates; Tarsiidae
Gene name: replication protein A 70 kDa DNA-binding subunit pseudogene
Exons: 1
Source: RefSeq, a predicted model, not a curated record